RNAcentral lists this ribosomal RNA (404 nucleotides) under uncultured bacterium. RNAcentral's name for it is "bacterial SSU rRNA". It matches the Rfam family "Bacterial small subunit ribosomal RNA", at positions 355 to 776 of the family's 1533-position model. The record is from RNAcentral.
UGGGGAAUAUUGGACAAUGGGCGCAAGCCUGAUCCAGCAAUACCGCGUGAGUGAUGAAGGUCUUCGGAUUGUAAAGCUCUUUUAGUAGGGAAGAUAAUGACGGUACCUACAGAAAAAGCACCGGCAAACUUCGUGCCAGCAGCCGCGGUAAUACGAAGGGUGCUAGCGUUGUUCGGAAUUAUUGGGCGUAAAGCGUACGUAGGCGGCUUUGUAAGUCGAUUGUGAAAGCCCUGGGCUCAACUCAGGAAUUGCAAUCGAAACUGCUUUGCUUGAGUUUGGUGGGGGAUGGUGGAAUUCCUAGUGUAGGGGUGAAAUCCGUAGAUAUUAGGAGGAACAUCGGUGGCGAAAGCGACCAUCUACGCCAAUACUGACGCUAAGGUACGAAAGCGUGGGGAGCAAACAGG